CACUCCCAGGGACAAGCCUAUGAGGAGGAAACUCAGGGGAGGAGACGUCCAAGAAAGGGGCUGACUGCAGACAGGUGAAGCGCCCUGGGCUCCUAGGAAAACGGGCCCAGAGCCUGGAUUACCUCACUUUUCCACCGUGCUACUCAGAGCCAAGGAUCCCAGGAUCUGCAUCUGAUCCUGGGCGUCGAUUUCCUGAUGGAUUUCUCUCCCAACGUAAGAAACAAAGCGCCCUCAAAUUGCUGAAGGCUGCUAGAAAGAACGUGGCAUUCAUGGGUUCCGGAUGCCGGGGGCCUCCAGAAAACUACGACUCAUGACUUAAAAAUGGCUUAAUUCGCAAAACAAAAUGCAAUCUUGAAAGCCAAUUUGUCAGACUGCAAAGAAAUUUUACUUGGACAUAGAUAGUUGUUGACCCUGGGUCAGUAUCGGUUUCUUCCCUUGUUCAUUCAUUAUUUCAUACAUUUAACUUCAUAAUUCAAUUUAUUCAUGCUCCCUUUGUUUUAGUCACUGUUAUUUUAAUAUAUGCGUGUGUGAGAGAGAGAUGCUUACCGUACCCAGAGAGUCCUUUUGGAAAGGAAACAGUUACCCAAACUAUUUCUAGAGCAGGGGUUGCACAAAUAACUACAAAAAACGUUCCUUACCCCCUCCCCACCCCCAGCCCAGCUAAUUUAAAUUAAGAGUGAUCGCGUGACCCAAGAGCGCACAAUCCGUGAUGUAGUCAUCAUCCUGUGAGGUGACCUGGAGCAAACAGUUCUCAUCAAACACGGACUCUGAUAGUUAGUAAGCCAAUCAGACACUCCCUUGGAAAUGGAAAGUGGAGAAUGCAGAGACGGAGCUGUCUGAUGUAAGAGAAAGGUUGGAGCUAAGAGAGGGUAAGGCAGAAGGGGCCAAAAUGGGCUUCGGAUGCAAAACAUUUGAGUAAGCAGAAACCAGGAGAAUGUAGCAGCAGGUUGGGUGGAGGCACAAGUGGUAGAAGCCAGUCAAAGACAAGCUGAGACCAAGUGAUGGAAGGAGAGCAACAAAGACCUGCUUCCCAGGGGCAUGUGAGUGUUCAGUUCCCUGGGGCUGCACUGGAUCCAUCCACUUCCCACGCUUCAUUCUAGUCUUUACGGUGAAUACCUGUCUCCUGGGUGUGACUGAAGGAGUCUCUGUUCUGUAAUCUUCAACAAAGGUCUGAUUCUUCUAA
This 1183-nucleotide long non-coding RNA is filed under the name Homo sapiens (human). RNAcentral describes it as "non-protein coding lnc-REPS1-2:1". The record is from RNAcentral. Lineage: Eukaryota; Metazoa; Chordata; Mammalia; Primates; Hominidae.